RNAcentral lists this long non-coding RNA (293 nucleotides) under Sorghum bicolor (sorghum). RNAcentral's name for it is "long non-coding RNA (SBIC_LNC004661)". The record is from RNAcentral. Lineage: Eukaryota; Viridiplantae; Streptophyta; Magnoliopsida; Poales; Poaceae.
ACAAGAGCUAUGUCACUACUUACACUAGAAAGCUACCUAAAGUUUCUAUACAAGUAAGUAAGCUACUCUAGUUUGCGGGAAUGUAAAAGAGAUGGUUUGAACUUUAUAUCGCCGCGUAGAGGGGAUGAACCAAUCAAUAAUAUGAAGUCCAAUCACCGGGAGAAAUCCAAUGAACAAUCACAAUGGAGACACAUAAUUUUUCUCCCGAGGUUCACGUGCUUGCCGGCACGCUACGUCCCCGUUGUGUGGACCAACACUUGGUGGUUCGGUGGCUAAGAGGUGUAGCACGAACC